This is a long non-coding RNA of Mus musculus (house mouse), 22424 nucleotides long. RefSeq annotates it as predicted gene, 39941. Lineage: Eukaryota; Metazoa; Chordata; Mammalia; Rodentia; Muridae. The transcript has 2 exons. The record is from RefSeq and is a predicted model, not a curated record.
CAGGAGUGAAGAGCAAGAAACGACAUAUUUUGCAUUCUUAUUACUCAAGCUAUUUCUUCUUUUAAGAAAAUAUCACCUUGGUCAUAUUUCUGAUAUUUGUUUUUAAGGGAAUGCAUUUAAUCUCAAUGUACUAAGGAAGACUUAUUGAAGGCAUGAACAUACUGUUCCAUUUGGGAGUCUAGAGCCCAGGAUUUUGUUUUCUCUACUUUCAACAUAGAAUGAGACAGUGUGACAUAAAAAUUCCUUGGGGAAAUCAAACCUUAUUUUGCACUUUUUUAUGUGUGUGUGUGUGUUUCCUCAGAUUAUAAAAAAGAGUUGCAUGUAAAGAUUAUUUAUUUUUAAUUUUUAGAUGUAUGCAUUGAGCAUUUCUUUGAUCCAAGCCCUUAUGAUGUUAUAGGACAGAGGACCUUCAAUGGAAUCGAGCAUGUUAAAAUACAUGCGUGGGCAUGUUUCACAUGGGCAAUUCUACUUAUAGUACUAUUUAUCAGGAAUAUAGAGUCAGUAGAUUGUGGUGGUUUGAUAAAAAUGGCCCCCAUAGCCUGAUGUGUUUGCAUGUUUGUCCCAUAGAGAGGCACUAUUAGGAGUUGUGGCUUUGUUGGCAUAGGUGUUGGAGGGAGUAUGGGUAAGAUUUAAGGUUUCAUAUGCUCAAGUUAUUCCCAGUGUGGACACAGUCUCUUGGUACCAGCUCUCGUAUGUAGAACUCUCAGCUCUUUCUCCAGCAUCAUGUCUGCCUGCAUGCUGCCAUGUUCUCCUCCAUGAUGAAAUGAACUAAACCUCUGAAACUGUAAGCCAGCCCUAAUGAAAUGUUUUCCUUUAUAAAAGUUGCCAUGAUAAUGAUGUCUCUUCACAACAAUUUAAAGCCCUAACUAGGACAUAGAUAGAUGCUUGCUAGAUAGUAGAUAGUUUAUGAAUGGAAAAAAUAAAUGGUAGACACCAUAGAUGCUCUAGAAUAGAGCCAAAAGGAGUCAGCAGAGGUACCCCAAGUACUCUGGCACCUUCACGCACCCCAUUAUGACAGCCAUCACUCACAAUUUCUGUCCUCGGGCCUCUAUUCUGUAUUUCCUUUCUUUCAGGUAUAUCUAAUUUUUCAGAGGGAAGUUCACUUAGACUCUUAAGCAGUUUUUUCUGCCUAGUACAGUGACCAACACAUAGAGAUUUUCAAGCUAAGCACCUAGUUGUUAUACCUUAAAAUACUAUCUUGGGUUUGUUUUUAAUGAUGUUACCUGCUUUAUCAUGUGCCUUACAUGCACAUAUAAACAUGCACAGGCUACUUUUAGGACCAGACCCCCUUCUAUUUUCAACAUUCGCCUCACUGAAAGGCAUGCCAUUCAGGGAUUGGAUAGAGAUGUAUAUACUUUCUACUCCCAAACUCAUACCACCAACCCUCUCUAUGUCUCCUUUGUAGCUAUCUAUUGACAUCUCCACUUACAUAUUGCUCUCUUACCCUCAUUUUAAUCCCAUAUUCUCUUUUUUGAGUAAAUUUUAUAGCAAAUCUAUUAUUUCUCCAACCAGGAUGUAUAAGAGUUACCCACUAAUGUUUCUUAGACUGAUGUUUCCUGUCUGAUCCAUCAUCACGUUUAGUUACUUUUAUACUGUAAUGAUACCUAGAAUUCUUCAAUUUCUCUUUGUUUCUAUAGAAUUUUAAAGUCAAAGAAUUUCCCCCUAACUAGCUUCUGGUUUCUCAGUGUGCCACUUGGAUGUUACCUUAUAUAUCAUCCGGCUCUCCCCACAGCAUGGCGAAAGUAGGCACCUGCUGCUCCCAGAUGUAGAGAGGUUGGGUUUGCUUUGGUUGUUCUCCAAUAAGCUUAGUUACAUGCCUGCGAAUCCAUGGCGAGGGGUUGGUCUGAAAUGACUUCAGCUAGGACGAGCAGGGAGGCUCAGCUCCCUCCUGUCUCAUCCCACAGAACACUUGCUGCAUAAUAUAUUCCAGAGAGGCAGAGAGUAUAGGUAGAGACUCCAAUUGCUACUCAGUUCUCUCUCAUACCGGUUCUAAUAUCCCAUUGGCUGAAACAUAUUAUGUUCCUUAGCUGGGUCUCAGAGAGCAGGGAAUAUGCUGAUUUCAUAGAGAGAGACUUGGAUAUAGGGAAGAUAAUGAACUGGGACUAUUAAAGCCUUUAGCCUUACACACUAGGUCAAAAAAAAACUCCUCCUCCAACCACAGUAUUAACCUUUUCUCUUUCACUGCUCCAUGGACCUCCCUUCUCUACAACUGCACAGCUAUUUGGGAGGCAUUAUUUUUAGGCACUUGGGAAAGGAGCUCCCAUUGUUUCAUAACUGCAAUGUGUAGUACAGUGCUUGGCUCAUUGUAAGUAUUCACUAAAAAUGGACUGAAUAUGAGAAAGAACUGACAGGGAUGGCUUCAAGACAUAAGUGAUGUAUCUUUGCUGUAGCCUCAGGAAGCUAUUUACUAUUAUAAAGAUAAGACUUUGGUAAAUAUCACCAGCAUCUACUUCAUUUGAAAGAUACCUUGUCUUCUUAGGCAGUGCUCGUGGUAUACAUAUGUACAUACACACACACACACACAUACACGCAAAUACACAUAUAUGUAUAUAUUACACUUACACUCUCACACACACACACACACACAGAGAGAGAGAGAGAGAGAGAGAGAGAGAGAGAGAGAGAGAGAGAGAGAGAGAACUUGUGCCAGAGUUGGGGGCAGAAGUCUGUACAAGAGUAUAUACUUCGAGAAAUUUUUUUCUGCCUGUUCCUGUGAGUUAGACUUUUGGAAGUACAGGACCCAGUCAUAGGAGCUGAAGGAACCCUACUCCAUUUCUGGAAAUUCAACAUUUAGGAAUGUAACUUCAGUAAAUCUAUACCCAGCUAUUGUGUACUGUCGAAUUCUUUAGUAUCCUUUUCCCUACAAAGGACAGCAAUACUAUUUGGGAAACUUUCUUACAGCUCAAAUAAAACAGGCCCUUUGCAGAGAAGUAAGUUUGACGCCCCAAAUUCAAGAGUCACAUCACUUUUUCUCUAUUGUAAAACGUUUGAGAGGGGGUUUUUGCUAUAAUUUAUUAAAAAACAGGAAGCCCUGAUGAGUCCAUAGUGCUUCCUUUUGUUUCUAAAUAGCAAAUAUCACAUUCAUCUUUGCAAGUAUAUGUGUUGCCUGAAUUCAAGGAAAACGUGGAUUCUAUGAGGUAAAUGGAGCAUCAGGGAUCAGAGACGUCUCUCUCAUGCACCAUUCUGUUUCCCACUCAGUAGACAAAUGAAACUCCGGCUGCCACUGCUGAAGCACUGCCCCCAGCGCCCUUCUGCUCAUGCUGAGUCCACCAUCUGUAAUCCUCUCACCUGCCCUUCCUGAUAGACCAGGUCUGCUUCCCAUCUAGUCACGGGGUAUAAAUUUAAAAUGUUCAUUCGCUUGGCCUCAGUAAAUCCUUGCUGAAGGAUUUGUCCUAAGGAAAUAAAUGGAAUUGGUGCUUGAGGUGGCGCAGCCUGGAGGUUGGCAGAACUUACAUCAGGAGUUGGGAUUUGGUAUGAAUGUGGCUUUGGUGCAAGACUACCUAGAUUCCAAUAAUGGCUCUAUCAUUUCCUGACGGCUUGAGCUUGGCACAUCACUUUUCCUUUUGCCUUGAUGGCUUCAUACCAAAAUAGAGAUAAUAAUAGCAACUGCCUCCUACAGUUAUCAGCAAGAUUAAAAAUGUCAGGAAAGGUGAUGCACUUUGCACAGUGCCUGAUGCCUGAGAGGAACUCAGUGUUCAUGUAAGCACUUGCUCAGCCUUCACAUGUGAUUGCAUUAUUUAAAACGUCUCAUUUUCUUUUUCUUGCUUCCGGUGCUACUAGUAGACUGGGUAGACCCCUUCUUAUGUUCCCCCAAACCUCUCACUUAGUAUUUUUAGCUAGGUUUAAUGCAAAAUGAACAAUUGGUGGCUUGCCAACAAAAAAUAAUGGAGAUUCUUAAACUAAUUUCUUUUAUAAAGAAACACAUGCCAGUUCUCUAAUUUGGGAAACUAUUCCAUUUGUAUGAUAGCAUCUGCUGAUCUCAUGACAAUUAUUCAACACUCUGGCACUCAAUAAUGAGGGCCAAAGAUGUGGCCAAUUGAAGUCAACUUCAAUUCAAUUUUAAAUAGACUACUUGAUUUGGUCAAAAAUUAGCCUUUUAAUUUUACUUUAUCUGAUGUCAAUGUUGUAUUUUGGCUACUUAAAUCUUUGGUUUUCAGUUAGAAAUGUAUCAGAGAGGUUCCAAUGUCUUGUCAUCCUGUGUUAGACUAUACAUGUCUAGUUUUUCCUCUAAUUACAGAGUGUUCAGAGCACUGGAGUUUGAAUUGAUUAUAGGGCACAUGCUGUGGUGCACUUUGCAGUUUUUAUAAUUUUAAUUUAUUAACAUGCCUUUUAUUUAAUCACGUAUAAGUUUUAAGUAAAAGCUUGGGCCCUUCUUAUCUUCUAAGAAAUAAUUUCAUUAUCAAGUAUUAUGCCAUAAUUAAUGUAUUAUCUCGGCAUUGCAGUAGAGCUUUCUGGAUCCUGGGAGCCAGUCUUGGAAGAAGGAGAUCCAAGAUAAUGUAGAAAAAAAUAAAAGCACAACAGCCUAUAUCAGCUACACUCACUGCCCUGCUGUGAGAUAGGGAUCAGCUUCAAAUUGUUGCACUCACAGAGGAUGGUGGUCUCUAGCAAGAGGAUGGUGGCAGCAAGGAGUAGCCUAUCCUGAUAAAGGCAGAGUUGAAUCCAUCUGAUAUCCUACGUGUGUCCCUGAAAUAGACGGUCUGCUCUCAGGAGCAGCUCUUGAAUACAUAAGAAAAAAAAAUCUGGGGCAAAAGAAAGCUUCCUGUUCCCUCUUUGUUAUGUUAUCCUUUAUAGAGACCUGGGGUUUCAAAGUAAAGGUCGUGAUUUUCUUCCCCUAUUUGCCUUCCUGGCAAGGGUUGCUUCAAACUCUUGACAUUCUCAAAAGUGCCUGUACUUACCUUUCUGAGCAGAUGGAGGCUACAAGGAUGCCACAGAGACACAUAGAGGCUUUCAAAGGCAUAGAAGUGCGAGAAAUCAGAGAAAUCCAUGGGUGAUAUGCCCUCUGUUAAACACAAAGCUUAUUAGGUGGAAUAAUGCCCUCAACUUAAGUGACUUGUUAGAAAUCUUCAUAUUCACGAUGUACUAUUUCUUUCAGAAAAUGACUAUCAUGGCAAAUGAAUAUCAUGACAAAAGUGAUGGUAAAACAAUUAAUCAUUGAAAAUAUUAGUUUUUGCCUGUUCAAAUUGGCCAAUUCUGUCUCAUCUAGGUAUACAUUUCUUUUUCCCUUUUGGUAAAAUCAGCAGGAACUUCCAGGUGGCUGAAAUCCAUCCCGAGUAUUGUUGCCAGGAACAUUUAUAGUCCAUUGUUCAGAACAGAAUAGCUGGGAGCAACAGGGGGCUCUUCAAUUUUGCCUCAUCGAGCCCCAAAUUGGAGAUGUGUUUUUUGUCGCUUCAGAAUUUCAGGUGUUAGGGCCUGAGAUUCAAAACAAAUACCAGCUCCUGCUGAACACAAGCCUUAAUUAAUUUUCAGCAGGAGAUGAGUGAUUGCCAAUAAGCCAUGAAUUAAAAUGGAACGGUCACCAAAGGCCAGGUUCUCCUCUCAAACAAAUAACAUUUCUUACUGAUUCCUUGAAAGAUCAUCUCAGAGGUGAGCAAGUGCUUGUCCCAGCUCUCUGGAACGAGGGAGGUGUGUGGGCAAUUGAGAGCACAAAGUCCUAGCCUAGUAGAUCAGAGGACCCAACCCAACCCAACGGACUCGGAGGCACUUGGGCAAUGUCCUCAUCACGAGGCCGUAGUUCUAGAGCGUUUGCCUGCUUCUCUGGCUUAAUUAUGUCAGUCUCCAGAAGAUCUUAAAGGUCAGCUGUGCCCCCUAUAGUCAGUGUCUGUGGUGCAUUGGGGCCACCUCUGUAAAUUGGAAAUUGGUACUGCCUCAAUUCCUCUAGUCACCUCCAUAUUCCCUUUUUUCAGAAACAGUCUGUGUUGUCUCUGUCCUAUUGGCUAGUUUUCUUUUCUUUUUUAAGAAGACUAAAGAAAGAGAGAGUCCCAUGUUGUUUUAAUCCUUUGAGACUGAUUUAUCCCCAAAGGUGGAACACAAUGAAUCAAAAGUCUCCUUGUGUGAGAAAGCUCUUUAAUAAGUGAGAUUGCUGGUCUCAAGCUUCUUCCUUGGGGCCUCUUUUAUGGGCAAAACAACCCAGAGCCUUUCAAAAUUCUUUACUUGGCACUGUGUGUGUGUGUGUGUGGGGGGGUAUGUGUGUGUGUGUGUUUCUACUCAUCCUUGUAUACACAAUUAUUAUUGUCAUCAUUGUUGUUAUUUAAUAACAAAUAGCCACUCAUUGUGGAGUGUUCUAUUGUGGUAUAAAAAGUUGCUAGUGUUUAUACAAUCCUCAGCAACAAUCUUAUAAAUUGAGUGGUUGGCACGUCCUACCCUAUCAAUGAGGCAUUUUAUAAAAAAGGGAAACAGGGAUUGGUCCUUUGCCCAUUAGACUCAGAAUUGAGAAUCCUCACUCUUUUGUGAUGGUUCAACACUUCCCUCACCCUUCCGGAAAGCAUCAGCCCAUUGACAAUUACUUGAGGGAAGCUGCUAUUUUCCUCACAUACUCUAAAUGGGAGAUGCAUUGGAUUUCUAAAAGUGCUGUGCUGAUUGAUCCUCUCCACACUCAACAAACAUUAGCAACCCUGUUUCCCUGCCGAGAAGCCCGCUCAAGGUGGUAAAAGCAUAAGCAUUGCCUAGGCACCAGGCCUUGGGUCCAGAUGCUUCUGGGGCAAAACCAUCUUCUUCCAGUUCAUCAUGAGAGCUGAUGCCAGCUUCUGGCGUAUGCCAGCUUAUGGUGAAUGAAUGAAGUCCAAGUCCAAUUCCUGUUAUGUCAGCCUUAUUGUCUACAGCUAUUGCCCUCUAGUGGUGUGAACGAAAGGAAAAAUGAGGUUGGAUUUAUGGUUUGACUUGCCCUAACAGGCCAAAGUUCUACAUAGUGGUGUUUACAUAUCUUCCUCAAGGGCAGGGCCCUGGUCCUGUAUCAGGUGCAGUGUCAACUCAGCUUUUAGUAACUGGUGGAAUUACACAUGCAAAUAUAGAUGCUCAUUUCCGUGCCUGGGUAGCAGCUAGCCUUUGUUUUCAUAGACAGGCAUACAAGGCAACCAAUGGAGUUUGCAGGGUCUGUUUUCAGUCUGCCAAAGUAAAUUAAGUCAAAGGACAUCAUUUCUCUCCUGAUAAUAAGCAACUGUGGACUGUGAGACCAGAGCUCCAGAUAGUCAGUUUCAGAGGAUCUGAAGGCCUGCAUAGGUAGGGAUGUUGUUGUUGUAGAUUUAGACAUGGUUCUUUACCUCUUAUCUCUAGUGAUUUAUCUUAAGUCCUCUAAGUAGCAGAGGCAGUAGGCUUGUGCCGCCAUACCAUGCCUUAGGCCUGUUCUUUGGGAUCCAACUCUGAUGAAACUUUAAUGUGCUGCAUUUAAGGCCUUCUUCUUCUUUUUUUCCCUUCCCAAUUUUUUAUUAGAUAUUUUCUUCAUUUACAUUUCAAAUGCUAUCCCGAAAGUCCCCUAUACCCUCCCCACCCCUGCUACCCUACCCACGCACUCCCACUUCUUGGCCCUGGUGUUCCUCUGUACUGGGGCAUAUAAAGUUUGCAAGACCUAGGGGCCUCUCUUUCCAGUGAUGGCCGAGUAGGCCAUCUUCUGCUACAUAUGCAGCUAGAGACAAGAGCUCCAGAUAUACUGGUUAGUUCAUAUUGUUGUUCCACCUAUAGGGUUGCAGGCCCCUUCUGCUCCUUGGGUACGUUCUCUAGCUCCUCCAUUGGGGGCCCUGUGUUUCAUCCAAUAGCUGACUAUGAGCACCCACUUCUGUGUUUGCCAGGCACUGCCAUAACCUCACAAGAGACAGCUAUAUCAGGAUCCUUUCAGCAAAAUCUUGCUGGCGUAUGCAAUAGUGUCUGGGUUUGGUGGCUGAUUAUGGGAUGGACCCCUGGGUGCAGCAGUCUCUGGAUGGUCCAUCCUUUCAUCGCAGCUCCAAACUUUGUCUCUGUAACUCCUUCCAUGGGUGUUUUGUUCCCAAUUCUAAGAAGGGGUGAAGUGUCCACACUUUGGUCUUCGUUCUUCUUGACUUUCAUGUGUUUUGCAAAUUGUAUCUUGGGUAGUCUAAGUUUCUGGGCUAAUAUCCACUUAUCAGUGAGUCCAUAUCAUGUGAGUUCUUUUGUGAUUGGGUUACCUCACUCAGGAUGGUAUCCUCCAGAUCCAUCCAUUUGCCUAGGAAUUUCAUAAAUCCAUUGUUUUUAAUAGCUGAGUAGUACUUCAUUGUGUAAAUGUACCACAUUUUCUGUAUCCAUUCAUCUGUUGAGGGACAUCUGGGUUCUUUCCAGAUUCUGGCUAUUAUAAAUAGGGCUGCUAUGAACAUAGUGGAGCAUUGUUGACAGUUUAGGAGCUGCCAGAGGAUGCUAAACCCAUAAACCAUUCCUAUUAUGGAAUAUACUCUCUAUUGGUUAUCACCCCACUGAGAUUAGAUGUAGGGAAUAGUGUUCUGUUAGAGAAGGAAAACAGAAGAGAGCAAAGUAUGGACAGGCUCAGUGUUUCUACAAAUCUUCAGCCUUUUCCUCUCUGUUUUCAAUGGAUUUAUUAUGGCUAAUGGUGCCAGUUCCACCAGUGAAGCCAUGUAGGACAAGUACCCCAGAAAUUCCACAUUCAGGGCACUGGGCAUGGCAGGCUGUGAAGUCUCCUGCACAUAUCCUGUCUUAUAUACUUGGUGCUUUUGUUAAAUUCUUUCAAGUUUCAAAUGAAUUAUCAACCUGUUAUUCACUGUGUCCAAGCCCCAUAAUGUGUGUGAUCCUUAGUCUUACCACCUGUAAAGUGGAAUUAAUAAUAGUUUUUAUGGAUUAUCUUGAUGUCUCUACGAUGAUCAGCCAAAAGCUAGCCACAGUAAAUGUUCUAUGAAAUAAGACAAUGCUGAACUUACUGCUGUUUGCUUAGCAGGUUAGAGGUUAUUUGGAAAGUACACAAAGACCUUUUUUUGGCAUACUUUCCCCUGCAAUUUUCUAAGUGGAGAGUUUAAGACAUAUUUUAACAGAGCUAAAUAAAUUCUUGAUCUGGAAGCACAGGUAGAGCCAUGAAAUGUUACAAUCAUGAAAGAACUCUGUUGCAAUUUGCAAAGCAUUAACCAAAUCCCCAAGAAUGAGCCUAGAACCAUGCACAUUUCUAACAAGGCAGCUUGGAGUGUUCAGACACAUCUUUAUUUCUUCAGCUCAUUUACAAAUACUUAUCUGUGAUUUAAAUCACUCCAAUGGAAGCAGAGACUCAAUGGAAGCAGAGCAGAACUAAGUGUUUCCAACUGUCGGUCUGGUGAGGGAUGAGGUAAAGUGGGACAUUUAGCUGGCAUCCUGCAUGCUCGCUAAAUAGAAUUAGCAGAAGCUUCCACAUUUCAAUGUCUAAAAAUAGUGUUGCUUUUAAAGGAAACAUGCCCAAGACCUGAGGGUGGGUCUGGGAGUUAGGUGUACAUGGUGGGUGCAGAAGGGGACAUCUGCGGGUCAAUUAAAUGUCUCGGGGGCUCUAGAUUCAAUGCUAAUUGGUUCCAUCAAAACUAAUCACAAGUAACCUUCUCUGUCUGCAGUCAGCAUCAAAUGAAUCCUGGUAGGGUUGGGCUCAGCAGAGGGCCGCAUGUCUGAUGAAUGGAGCAGUUGGUUGAUUCUCUCAAGUUCAUAACUGGAAUCACCUGUAAACACCCGGCUACUUCUUUUCCUAGUGGAAACAAUAUUUCAGUGCUAAUGAGGGGUUUGAUUUGUUUUUAGUCCAGUGGUUUCCCAUUGUUAAUCAUUAAUUGUGCUGUUACUUAAGAACAGGUCUGAUUAAUGCUUGAUGGUUUCCUUCUCCAGGGCUCCUUUGAGCUUUUGUUAGAGGAGACUUUAAAGGUCAGAAUGGUUAAUCCAGAAACGUUGUACUCCUGUCAAACACGCAAAAUCUACCGCUGAUUCAUACAAAGGGACUUAUUUCAGAGGAGAGACAAUGAUUUGAUAACUGUCAAAUUCUUUUUUUUGAGCAAAACAUUUACUUGUAAUUUAUCACUUAAGAAACAGGUCUAUAAGACUUAGCCAGAGGAUUUAUGUUGUUUGCAAAAAAUUAACUAACUUAGUUCUCAUAGUGACCAUGAGGGAAGCAUUGUGAAUAGACCCAUUUUACAGAUAAAAAAAUAAUUAAAAUACAGGAGGUUCUGUAGUUCCCCAAAUAUCAUAUAAUUAAAUGUGGAAGGGGUAGAAUUUUAAUCCACAUGGGCCCAUGAACUUCUAAUGAGCUUUGCCAAGAAUUGUUAAGUUAUAUUUGUUAUUUAUGAAUAAUGAUAAUAAUAUUAAAAUCUGCCAACAUUAUCUUCAUUCUCCCCUUAUAUCUAAUAGAUAUGAGCUAAUGGAUUCCUCCUUUGUAAUGGUGAAAGGUAUCAAAUAUGUUUAUUAAUCUUUUCAAUUAGUAUGGGAAAUAAUGGGUUUUACUAUGAUAUUGUCAUUCAUUUGUUUUUGUCCACCACUGCUAUCUUUUGUCACUCCUCCAUUUCCCACUGUCCCCUUUAAAAAUUAAAGUCCAGUAGAAUUAAAUAUACAUAUAUAUCAUAGUUGAGUCAGAAACCAAGUAUUAUUGAGACCAAUCAUUAUAAGUAGUUUCCGUUUAAUCACUGACUAUUGUGGUGAGAAAACUAUUUAUUUUAACUCCUUUAUCUACUAUGGAGGUGAAGGCUCUUAGGUGGAUCAGGAAAUGUGUCUGUACCAGGGUCACAGGUCCCUUUGGUGACCGUGCUCAUGAGCACAAGGCUCCCUGUUUUGAAUUAAUCUAUUUCCUGAAACAGCUUUAGAAGUCACCAGCUAGAAGAUAGGCCAAGCAUGUCAAGUAAGCCUAAGGAUGUCCCACUGGGAGGAGUAAGAGUUGGUAGAGUGAAUAUUGACUUCUUUGGAAGGAAGCCAUUUGUGUUCUUAAAUGGCAAAUGCUUGAUAGGUAUUACCCAGGUUUGUAUUGUGCAACUAAUGAUUACUUAGUUAAAAGGAUCAAUAAUGAGUUUCCUUAUUUAUAAGUAAUUGAGUUGAGUUAUCUUCUAGGAUAAACCUGUCAGGUACCCAAGCUUAAAAACAAAAAUCAAAUGACAAAAGAAUCUUUAACAGUUCAUACUAAGAAAAUGCUGGGAUGGAACACAGUGAAGUCUCCUUUCCAGUCCUUUUCAGAGAGAGGAUGAGGGGAAAGAGCUUAAGGUAUGUUCAGGGGCUUCACUGCCAAUCUGGCUCAGUAUUCAAUGACACCUUGCCUUGGCUGGUCCAAGGCUCUCCUCUCCAGACAUCUGUGGCUUUGCAAAGAGUCCAAGUGCUCCCCAGCUGUCUUGGAAAGGUCAUUGGUAGUACAGGAAGUUUGACAUGUGUAUGUAUAUUGAGUUAUUGUGAAGUGUCCACAUAGACUGGACAAAUAUGGAAGAUCUUUAGAGUAGAAUAACUGGAUGGUGGGGUGCUCACUAACCAGGGUCCCUCGGACUUUCUUGGUCUCACUGCAGCUCUUAGCUACUCUCAGUGAAUCAGGGUUCUUUGGGCAUUAGGAACCUCUUGAUUUAGUAGGACCUAUGGAACUCUAUAUUAAUAAUGUAUUGUUUCUGUUGUGUUAUAGUAGUAAAUUUGAUUAUGGUAAAAUGAAUGACUUUUUUGUAUAGUUCAGUGUUGAUAUGUGUACUAGUGACAUCAUCCUUCCCACCAAAAGAAGAACAUGUUAAUCACCCUAGAAGUCUAUGCACACCUUUGCAGGUAGAGCCACUGUGCCCUAGAUUAAGACAUCCAUUUCUAUCAUCAGAUGUAGUGUUGAAUUUCAUAAUGACAUUCAGAGGUGAUUAUGAUCACACAAAGAGAACUGGGGAUAAAAAGUAUUCCUACAGUCAUGUACCUGACACAGAAACACAUUUACUUUGUUAUUUGGAUAGAUAUGUAUACACUUUUAAGACUUCUAAAAUUAUGUUUACUGUAACUGUAAGAUCGCUGAGUGAUACACUUGGAUAUCUGUGUUGUAAAUAAGCAAGGGUUUGCUAGUUGGGGUCACAAAUGAAACUUAGAAGCCCCAGGAUGAUCUAGUAGUCCAGAGAAGUGUCAAGCUGCAGACUCUUAGUUGAGAAUUAAAAGAGGCCACAGAGUGAGUAGCAGGCUGGGUCCAUAAUCCUGUUGACAACACUUUUCUUCAGCUUUUGAUUCAUAGUGCAUCUGUUCCCCACCAGUUGCCCUGAGCCCAGCAGUGUUGCCCUGGUUUCCAUGGUGCUGAUUUGCAUAUGAAACUGGGACUUGGAUUUUUGUGUUUGCCUCACACAUUUCCAGUGCUAAGUGUUCUUCUAAGAAAGGGAUUAUCACACUAACCAGUUAAGGGAGUUUGCCAGAAAUAAAGCACCCAGGGAAUUAUUCUUCAGGUUGUAUUGUGGCUGCUGUGUCUAAGAGAUCAAGGCAGGUUGUUGGGCUUCUGAGGCCAGCAAAAGGCCCUAAAGAUAAAAUGUUUAUUGUAGGUCUGUAGCAUAUUGUCUUCCUUCCUUUCUUCCUUCCUUGCUUCCUUCCAACCUUCCUUCCUUCUUUUAAACUAUAUUUGAAAUUUAAAAUAAUGUUGUUUUGAAAGAAACGAUGCACAUUAUUAUAUUAGCAUUUUAAUCAGCUUCAAGUAGCCGAACCAAAGCUUAAAAUUUGUGAUUCUACAUCUGCCCCCAAGGAAUCCUAUGUAGCAACAUGAAAGAGUGAAGUCUGAUAUUUACAGCCUUGGGUGUCCUUCUAAAACAUGAUGCUGAGGAGAAACACAUAAUUACAAAUGAGGGAUUGGAUUGUGCCCUCAGGAGGAACGUGAGUCCCUGAUCUAUACCCACAGUGCCAGUUCGCUGCUUAGUUGGUGCCUUCUGUGGACAAGGUACAGUGAUUUGGAGGUGACCCUUGCUCUUUGUAGAAUUUUGAAGUGUUUGAGAGGGUGCUUAACCUCUACUCCAGCAUGACUUUUCUUUAAAGCAGAAUGCAACACAUUUUUUUCGGAUCAGAAAAUGCAACAGCAGAGACCAGUGCCGUUUAUGUCUUUGAAAAAUGUGCUAUAUAGCAGCUGUCCCAAGAUGUACCAACUAGCUCAGGGAUGGAUGGCUCAUAUCAUGUGCUGGGCUCCGGGAUGCUCUUCCGGAUGGCCAGUGUAACUGUUGCUUCACUGCUUCCAAUGCUCCUGCAGGUCUCUUGUGUCCCAGCCUAAUGAGAAACUCUCAGAACUCGUUUCGCCUAAAUACUAAAGAGUCACCGUACCUUGCUGAUCAUGACAUUCAACUGGAGAAAAUUAUCCUGGAAACCAGAAGGUCUAUCAGGCAAACUCGGGUUAUUGACAGGCUAAGAACAUUUGUCAGGGCACUGGAUUUCUUCUUCAAAGAGAAAGAAAUAUCUCCCUCUUCCCAGAGUCAUUAGAUAUAAGCUCCCCCUUUUCUGUUUCAGACUGUAGUCUCUCAUAUAACAAAAAGGGGUGUGUGGAAUCCUUCUUAUCCUUGAAGGUCAUGUUCAGCUCUUAUUUUGUCCUUUUCCACUCCCAUUAAAUUUCUUGUCUCCAAGUCUUGCUUACCCUGUUUCCUCUGAUUCUGGACCAAGGCAGCCUGCUAAGCCUGCAAGAACACCAGGCAGGCAAAGGGAGUCUGAAUGUUUGCCUAAACUCUCUGAGCUGUUAAAGUGAAACACUGAGGGCAAAGGCUAACUGCAAGUGAUGGAAUUAAAUAUUUACCAUGUUAGCCAUGACCACUCAGGGGUUUCAGGAAAAGCUAACCAUAUUGCAUGGAGUUUUUUCUCCUGCUUUCCAGAUGAUAUCCAGUCUCGAGUAAAUUUGCCAGCUCUCGGGGAACGCUAUUCAGCAACAUUAAUUUCUUUGCCUACUUACAGUUUCAAGCAAUUAUAAUCUUGGCAGUUUCACCUGCCUUGAGUAAGAACUUGUACACUUUGUUGAUAUCUGGCAGAACUAACACUCUCCUGCAAAGACUUACGUUUCAAUACUGCUAAUUCUACAAGGCACUUGAGCUGUGGAUUAGCGUUUUAUGGACAUUUGGGCCAAAGUUUUAUUACUCAAUUGUCUCAAAUGGAAAAAUAUAUUUAAAAAAAAAACAAGACAUUUGGGGUUUGUGUUCUUUUUUCAAUGCCCUUAUUAAGUUAGUUGGUUUUGUAAGGUGCUAGGUAUUGGAACACUAACUCAUAUUGGAUACUCCGCUGUAGAAAUUGACAUAAUGAGUAUUGACUUGGGGCUCAACCUUCUUUAGGAAGAACCAUGUCAGCUCAGAGCUCCUAAGAGGGUGGCAGGUACAUUUUCAGUGACUGUAUUAUAAUCUCACUUCUUUUUCUCGUUUUUUCACUUCCCUUCCCCCUCUCCUCUUUAGCCUCCCUCCCCCUUUUCCUCUUCCCAUUUCUACCCUCCCCUUCCUAGCCCUCCUCUUUUUCUCUAUUCCCCUCACAUUCCUUCUCUUUUUUUAUUUCUCCAUUGCCUUUAUUUUCCUUCCAUUCCUUUCUAACUGAUCUCACAUUUAUCCCCUAACAAAUGCCUUUGUACAGAUCUUUGCCUCACAGUGUAUCUAUCUCCCCAAGGUUCUUAAAAACCAUAGCUGUGAUUACAUGAAGAUAACAAAGUUUGAGGGAAAGAAAGAGAUUGGAAGCUACUAAUGAACUCUUAGGACCAGGGAAAUGGAGUUUCUGUUUUCCUCCCCACAUUGGUCUUGUUGGGAGGAUGAAGGCAGCUCAUUGGCCCCAGGCCCUGCUGGGGACAUAAGCACUCUCUUUUCCCUCCCCUUUUCUAUGUCUUAUGUUAUGUGAUUUGCUAGCAUGUUAUAUGUCACAAUACCCAUGUUUACUCUCUGUCUACAUCCACUGCUUCUCCCAUACACACACAGACACAGACACAGACACACACACACACACAGACACACACACACACACACACACACACACACACACACACACACACACACAGAGUACAUAAACCCAGGAAGAAAAAGAUCCUUGUUUACUUUCAGUGAUGUGUUUAGCACAUAGUAGGUCUUAGUAAGUAUUAAAUAAAUGAAGGAGAGAAGUCAAAGGGCAAGCAGACACUGGGUAACUGUGACAUGCAAGUCCUUUUAACAACUGGAGAGUUUCAAAGUGGGAGAAAUGUUGAGUGGAUGGAGAUUUAAGGGUUUGGAGAAAACUAAUACACCGAAAUGCUUUGAAAACACAAUUUUCAUAUUCGAGGCUGUGUCAGAUUCUCUUAGAGAGCUUGUUAAACAAAAUCACUGGCCUCACUGUCAGAGUGUCUAAUUCUGCGGGUUCUCUUAUCCGUUAUUAGUUUUUGAAGCAAUUUCAAGUCUCCAUGGUUGGUGAUGCCGGGUGGCUCUUACUAUGCAUACACAGGUGAUCUCCUAGCAAGUGCUUGUUCCAAGUUAGUACUCAGGGGGGCAAGCGCAUGCUGGGUAAAUACCCUUAUUCCCCAAACACCAUUCAGCCCUGAAGCUGAGGGACUCACAGAGCUUUAGUGUUAGGAAAUGAAAGCUUAACCUCCAAGGGCUUCUAGCCCCUGCUAGUGCAGACUUGAUGAGGAGAGCUGAGCUCCACAUGCAAGCCAGCUUCUUCCUAAGCUUGUCAGUGUGACUGAGCCUGUGAUCUCUUUUGGCACAUUCUUUUCCCAAUCAUAACUUGUCCAUCUUGCUACAAUUUCAUAAGCUUUUGUGAUACUUUGUUCAUCAUGAAAAUGUGGCAUAAAAUGUACAGUUAUUGACUAGCCUGUCCACCAGUCCUUUUAGUUUAAAACAUUCCUUGUUAUUGCUUACUGUGGCCUCUCGGGCAUUUUCAGUGAUGUUUUCUUUCCAUUUAGAUUCUUUUAGGGGCACUUUAUUUUCUUUAUGUCUUGCUUUGAAACUUAUCAAGCACCGCAGUUUCCAAAUGAGAAGACAUAGACCAGUAGUGAGCUUGGCAUUCACAAGGAAAAUGGUAAUGGUAGUCAAAGUUUGCUUUUCUCCAGCCUUGUCUCCAAAUAUAUCCUAGUGUAUAGGUAAUUCUGUUAAAAAAGAAAAAGAAAUAAACUAAGAAAGAAAGAAAAGAAAAUGUUUAAACCCGUUGAGUCCAAUGUGUAUUACUUAACUACUCUUCAGAGUGGAGUCUGCCUUGGAGUAUAACCAACCUAUUAGAAGUCACUUUAAAAGAAACAGGCUCUACCUUUCCCAGUAGCUGUUAAGUGCCAAUAGCUCCUCAGCUAGUGAUGGAAUUUCAUGUCCACUUCCACCUUCACUUCUAUGCUAGAUUUGUGUGGUGUGAUCUUGUGCCGGUCUUGUAGCUGGCUGUCACAAUCACUGUGAGUUCCUAUGGAUAGCUGACCUGUAUGUCUGGAAAACAGUGACUUUUUUUUAAGUCCUUUAACUUCUCUGGCUCUUAUAAUAUUUCAACUCUGUCUUCCAUGAAGAUCUCUGAGCCUGUUGGGGAAAGGUAUUCUGGGUAUGUUUCAUUUAGGGCUGAGCACUCUACAGACUUGUAUUCUCUGUAUGUUGACCACCUAAGGGUGUCUGUGUUAAGCAUCAUCUACAGCAAGAAGCUUCUCUGGUGAUAGUUGAGAGAUGUCCUGAUCAAUGGGGUUAGCAACAAGUCAUUAGAAGUCAUGUUAAUAUUAUGACUGCCUAGCAGAAUAAAGAGUAUUUGUUAUUCCCAUAGGGCCUAUUACCUAUCCAGACAUAGGUAAUGUUAAUAGUGUCAGGUAUGGGUUUCCUCAUUCAGGCUUUACAUCUUAUCAGACUAUAGGUGGUUACUUCCAUGCCAUCCAUUUCAUUAUUAUAUCAGUGACCUUAUCUGUUUAGGCCAAUCAGAUUGCAGGAUUCAAGGCUGGAUGAGAUUGAUAGUUAUUUUUCACCUCAAAAGAUAGGUCUGGGAAUGCCUGCAUCGUGAGUCCAGCUCGUGUUGAAACCUUACCUCCAUUGAUGCAUUAGUUCUUUGUUGCCAAGGCAAUGUUGCUUAAAGCAUUGUUCCAGUCCCAGUGGUUUAAGACACUAAGCCCUUACUUAGUUCACAUAUGUGAAUGUCGGAGAUCUCAUUGGAUUGUCUGGGCAGUUGGCUCUUCUGGUUCGGUUUACUUAUAUGCCAAGCAGUAAGUUGGUUGUAAUGACAGAGUAACUGGUUCAGUGUCCUCUAGGGGGUCAUCCACAGCUUGUUCACACAGUGGCUGACCAGGGCAACCAGAGAGAGAGAGAGAGAGAGGAAGAAAAUAAGCCUACUAGACUUUUAGGCUCAUCAUGACAUACUGUCAUUUCCGGUGCCCUUUUCUCAAAGCCAGACUUAAGAGGACAAAAGCUAGACUCCAGUUGUCUGUGCCCUUUUUGGAGACAGAUUUUCACCAUCUGCAGUCUAGACUUGCCUGAAAUUAGCAACUUCUCCCAUCUCAGCUUCCGAGUGGUGGGGUUUCAGGCAUGUCCUGCUACAGUGGGUUAUAGUCUACUGUUUAAAGGCAAAGCAUAUUGGUAGGCAGAGGUGUUAGCUGCUGUUCCUGCAGUACACAUGGUAGUUUUAAAGAUGUCUCUGGGCAAUUUUUUCCACCCCUAAAUAUGGAUGGAAGAGUUUACAUUUUGUUUAUUCUUAUAGUGACUCAUGUACAGCUAUAAUUUGUAGCUCUAAAUUAUUGUUCACUUCAUUCAAAUCAAUUUGCGGGUAUAGAUCAGUACACUGUCGAUACACUACAAUAUAGUAAAGUAAGGACAGGUUUAAAAGCAUUGCCACCUUUUUUUUUGUGGAUCAAAUAUGAUAGUGGUGAUAAUGGCGAGACUGUAGAGAAGGAGUUCAGCUUCUCUUUGUGCUCAAAUCUGACAUCAUUUCAGUAUGUGCCAAGGGAUAAAGAAACAUGCUUCUCCAUAUGUCACAUUGUGUUACUAUUAAAUAAGUGUGUCUCUCACAUUAGUAGCUUUCAUAGCGAUGGUGACACAUGCGCACACGACUGUGACUAUUGCCUGUGAUACAUCUGAGACCAUAUCUGAGAGCUGUUAGAACUUCUGAGUAUUUUUUGCCCAGCCAACUGUUUUGAAGGAUUCCCUUCUAUGACACAUCCGUUUUGCAAGGAGGAACUGUGCAUUAAAAGAACAUUGUAAAUAAGCAACCAUAAGUGUCAUAAAAGUAUGUUAGCUCACAGGGGAAACUUGAGUAUCCUACUCAAAGUUAGCCAUUAAUAUAUGACAAUGGUGUGGUUUGUCCUGAAUUUGACAGCUCCAGGCUCAGAGCCAGAAGCCACUGGUAAGAGCAAUUCUGGCUUCUUCUCUGUAUGUCAUUUCUUGGGGAAACCAAGCCACAACCUGCAUAUCUCUCUAACGCUAUUUUUAAUCUAGCUCUAGCUUUGUCUUGACACUUACCCAGUCAGUAUCUAGAGACUCCAUCUUCGUGUCUAUUCAGGUGUCAAGGAGUACAAAGUAAUUUUUUAUGAAAAGAUUUGUCAAAAUAUUAAAAUUAAAAGCAUUUAAUAUUUUGAUCAUAUCAGUGUGUGUUAUGUGUAUGUGUGUGUUAUGUAUUCAUUACAUACAACAUUGUGUUGCAUCUUUAUUCAAACUUAUACUUAAUGUUAACAAAACAAAACAAACAAAUAAACAAACAAACAAAAAAACAGUGAAACAAAGAGGAAAAAAAUGCCAAGAGGAAAAUUAGAAGGAAACGAGAAGAAGACAGGGAGAAAAGCAAAGGAGAGAAGAGGAGACGAGGAAGGGAAAAUGGCUUCUGGUAUUCUCUGCUGCCUUCAAAGUUUAGCUUGUCCACUUACCAUGCGUCUGUGAAAAUUAAGUCUAAAUAAGUUGUGUAGCUACAAGCUGUUCCUAUGGAGUUUGAAAACAGUGGAGGACACUGCUAACGAGUCACAGAGCUUUUCUCUGAGGAGGCCUUUAUUUGGGUGAGUGUUUUGUUUUUGUGUUUUUGUUUUCUGUAGCAAAAUGGAAACAUGUGAGAAAAAAAAUCUUGAUUUGACACAGAUUUUAAUCUGUGGUCUGCUUUGCCUGUACCAUUUUGUCAUUCAUGAAAUACCUUACUUUUAUGUUCUAAGUACUUAAUAAACCUAUCAAUGCUGGUCCCUCCUAAAAAUGUUUGUUUCCUUCCUUUCUGUUUGGUAUAUGGUAAUGAAAAUUAGCUUUUGAAAAAAGUAUUGCUGCUGCCCUAAAGACUAGUAGGGAUAAUAAAGAAACUGGAGGGGUCAUACAGGCCUUGUGAUUGAAAAAGGCACCUCCUGAUAGAGAGGGUUGAGGUUCCUUAAAUAUUUUAUCAGGAUGUUGUAGGUUUCAAAGCCACCUAUGAAGAGUUCCUUGGUAUACUAUUAACAACAAAGAUGAAGGUUUCAAUAACAGUUGGCCUAAAACUGUGUCCCCCAAAUCUUCAGAACAUUUCUCAAAUCAGUGUGAAGCCCAAUUAAAAGACUUCCACAAUAUGUCCUUGUCCUGGGAAUGUGUGCAGGAGGCAUGUGUGCCCUGCAGCAGAUGUGCCUUGCCCUCUGAAUCUCCCUCGACAUCUAAGAUGUGCCACUAGCUUCUGGUUGCUUGCUGUGUUGUCUCCUCUGGAAUGCUCACAGUCAGGCACUGGCUGCCUGAGCUCCUCAGGAAUGAAUGCCCUGGAGCAGCUCUUGACCAGUUACAGAUGGGAUCUGCUAGAAAGGUUCCUUAAGUGUCUCAGCUUUUAUUUGGGGGUAGAUCUGAGGCACACUUUUCUCAGUUUCCCAAUGAGAAUGCACUCCUAUGACUGUGUAUCAUUAUUCAUUUAUUGCAUGUUCCAUUCUGGCUUUUUUCCAUUCCCCACCUUUUAUUUCUACAUACCUUCAGUUCUUCCUGGGACUGCAUCACUCAGAUGAACUCCGUAUUUCCAGCCCUUAUUUGUGCAUGAAUUCUUUGGAAGAUCCAAUAGGAGCCAUCUGCUAUAACAUUCUCAGUAUUAAAUUCCAAGGCCACCUGUAUUACUGUGUUGUAUUUUUCUGCAAUUGUGGUCUUUGUUCUGUCAAUCCUCACGUAUUCCAGCCCACAGCAUUACAAGGUCAUGAAGCCCCCCUUUUAUAAGGUCAAGUUCUUUGUAUGCUAGCCUAGGAAUAAUGUAUAAAAUAAGAAAGAAAUAAGUUGGUACGAUAUAGCACUAGAAUCAUAAUAGUGUUUGGAAAUGAAAAACAAAGUAAGUCAUUCAUUGAAUUCCAAGAUAGAAGAUAGCGACAAUAACAGAAAAAACAUAUGAGAGAUAGUCCACAGGUCUUUUUAAAUCACUGCUUUACAGGCCUUAGACCAGCAGAAGGAAACUAGAAAAAAUAUCAAAUUAUCCACAAGUCUCCUUUAUUUGUUAGAUUGGGCAGCUAACUUGGUUGUCAGAGGGUUGAGAGUUAGCUGCUACUGACCAGAUCUGUUGAAUUGUGUGGGGCGAGCUGCAUGUCAGGGUUUGACAGAACUGACAUAAAAAAUAUACCUCACAGCGUGUUCUCAUUGAGAGGAGCCUCUCUAUUCAGUAGAGAGGCAUAGCCUUUUCAAGUGCUGUCAGAUCCCCUCUGUCAGAAGGGAAGAGUUUCUAGUCAAAGCCAGUUAAUUCACAUAGUCUCACCUGGGAUUUUUAAAAAUGUAUUUAUUCACUUUACAUCCCAAUAGCAGCCCGGGUCCCUCUGUUCCACCUUUGCAAACCUCCCCCCUCCCCCCAUUAUCCCCUUUGCUUCUCCUGAAAGAAGGGAAAGACCCCUUGGGUACCACCCCACCCUGGGACAUCCAGUCCCAGCAAGACUAAGUACCUCUUCUCCCACUGAGGCCCAACCAAGCAGUCCAGUAAGGAGAAAGGAAUCCCGUGGGCAGGCGACAGGGUUAGAGACGACACUCCAUCCUAUGUUAGGGGACCCACAGGAAGAACAAGCUAUAUAUCUGCUACAAAUGUGUAGGUUGCCUAUAUCUAGCCCCUGCAUGUUCUUUGGUUGAUCAUUCAGUCUCUCUGAGUCUCUAUAAGCCCAGGUUAGUUGACUCUGUAGAUAUUCUUGUGGUGUCCUUGGUCCCUCAGGUUUGUUCAGUUCUAUUCCCCACUCUUCCCUACGACUCCCCAGCUCUGCCUGAUGUAUGGUUGUGGGUCUCCGCAUCUCUUUCCAUCUGCUGCUGGCUGAAGCUUCUCAAGAGACACUUAUGCUAGGUCCCUGUCUAUACGCAUAGCACAGUAUCAUUAAUAGUGCUGGGUGGGCUCUCUCACAUGGCUCUUUCAAGUUGGGCCAGUCAUUAGUUGGCUGUUCCUUCAGUCUCUACUCCAUCUUUAUCACUGUGCAUCUUGUAGGCAGGACAAAUUUUGGGUUGGAGGUUGUCUUGAUGGGUUGACCUCCCUCUCCCUCCACUAGAAGUCUUGCCUGGUUAUAGGAGGUGCCCACUUGAGUCUCCAUAUCCCCCUCUGGUAUGAAUCUCAGCUAGGGUCAUUCCCAUAUCCUCUUAGGAGCCUCCUGUCCCACAGAUGCCUUCCCCCUCCCUACCAAUUUCCUUCUGCCUCCCCACCAAUUUCCUUUCUCACUCCCAGCCCUCUCUAGCUCCACCUCUCCCCACACCUGAUACCCAAACUUAUCUCCCCACCUCAUUCCCUUUCUCCACCCACCUCUGAUGAGUAUAUUGUUUCUCCUUCUGAGUGAGACUCAUACAUCCUCCCUUGAGCUCUUAUUAUUUAGUUCCUUUGGGUCUGUGGAUUGUAGCUUUAUGGCUAAUGUGCAUUUAUAAGUGAGUACAUACAUACCAUACAUGUCUUUCUGGGUUUGAGUUACCUCAUUCAGGAAGAUAGUUUUUGGUUCCACCCAUUUUCCUAUAAAUUUCAUGUUGUCCUGGUUUUUAAUAGCUAAACAGAAUUCCAUUGUGUUGAUGUACCACAUCUUCAGUUGUUUCCAGUUUCGGGCUAUUACAAAUUAAACUGCUAUGAACAUAUUUGAGCAAGUGUCUAUCCAACCUGGGAUUUGAACCCUGUACUUUGUUGAACACACAUUUGUAAAAUUUGGCUAUUCUCUGUAUGGUAUAGUCAACAAUAGCUUGAGUAUAUAGACUACCAUUACAUUUGAGAAAAUUCACAUGAACAGUAUUUUGUUCUGAGGAUGUUUUAUUUCAUAAACACCAUAAAAUGUUUAUUGAAUAAAAGGGACAUUAUAAAGUGUCACUUGGGAAAUGCACCAUAAUCUAGCCUUCUUUGAUAUGGAGAAUCCAAAAGUAGGGAUCUAUGAAUGAGAAAUUCCUGGGUGACCUGAAACGGACAUAUUAGGAUUGUGGUUGAAAGAGAAUAAGAAUUGAUUUCCCCCAAGGUAUGCGUGCCCUUCCUACACCCUCUGGGUUCUUCUCCUGUGCUGCUUGUUGUAGUUGUAGUUCAUAGGCAUCAUAACACACCAUGUCAGUUCUGGGGAUCACCCAGGGUCUCUGGAAGAACACUACCCAGUGUUUAAGUCAACUCUCUAGUUCCCUGAUUACAUUUUCAGUCUGCAGAAGCUUGAAUCAGUGUAAGCUGAACCUAUAGAAAUGGACACACACACACACACACACACACACACACACACACACACACACACA